This 433-nucleotide ribosomal RNA is filed under the name uncultured bacterium. RNAcentral's name for it is "partial 16S ribosomal RNA". It matches the Rfam family "Bacterial small subunit ribosomal RNA", at positions 29 to 507 of the family's 1533-position model. The record is from RNAcentral.
AACGAACGCUGGCGGCAUGCCUAACACAUGCAAGUCGAACGAGACCUUCGGGUCUAGUGGCGCACGGGUGCGUAACGCGUGGGAACCUGCCCUUAGGUUCGGAAUAACUCCCCGAAAGGGGUGCUAAUACCGGAUAAUGUCUUCGGACCAAAGAUUUAUCGCCUUUGGAUGGGCCCGCGUUGGAUUAGCUAGUUGGUAGGGUAAAAGCCUACCAAGGCGACGAUCCAUAGCUGGUCUGAGAGGAUGAUCAGCCACACUGGGACUGAGACACGGCCCAGACUCCUACGGGAGGCAGCCGUGGGGAAUAUUGGACAAUGGGCGGAAGCCUGAUCCAGCCAUGCCGCGUGAGUGAUUAAGGCCUUAGGGUUGUAAAGCUCUUUUACCCGGGAUGAUAAUGACAGUACCGGGAGAAUAAGCUCCGGCUAACUCCGUG